RNAcentral lists this transfer RNA (69 nucleotides) under Vasticardium flavum. Its description in RNAcentral is "tRNA-Gly". The record is from RNAcentral. Lineage: Eukaryota; Metazoa; Mollusca; Bivalvia; Cardiida; Cardiidae.
GGCCUUAGGGUGUAGUUAUGCAUGCUUGCCUUCCAAGCAAGAGGUCUUUUAUUUAAAGUAAGGCUACCA